This 484-nucleotide ribosomal RNA is filed under the name uncultured bacterium. RNAcentral describes it as "partial 16S ribosomal RNA". It matches the Rfam family "Bacterial small subunit ribosomal RNA", at positions 30 to 507 of the family's 1533-position model. The record is from RNAcentral.
AUUGAACGCUGGCGGCAGGCCUAACACAUGCAAGUCGAGCGGAUGAAGGGAGCUUGCUCCUGGAUUCAGCGGCGGACGGGUGAGUAAUGCCUAGGAAUCUGCCUGGUAGUGGGGGAUAACGUCCGGAAACGGGCGCUAAUACCGCAUACGUCCUGAGGGAGAAAGUGGGGGAUCUUCGGACCUCACGCUAUCAGAUGAGCCUAGGUCGGAUUAGCUAGUUGGUGGGGUAAAGGCCUACCAAGGCGACGAUCCGUAACUGGUCUGAGAGGAUGAUCAGUCACACUGGAACUGGGACACGGUCCAGGCUCCUGCGAGAGGCAGCAGUGGGGAAUAUUGGACAAUGGGCGAAAGCCUGAUCCAGCCAUGCCGCGUGUGUGAAGAAGGUCUUCGGAUCGUAAAGCACUUUAAGUUGUGAGGAAGGGCAGUAAGUUAAUACCUUGCUGUUUUGACGGUACCAGCAGAAUAAGCACCGGCUAACUUCGUG